This 253-nucleotide ribosomal RNA is filed under the name uncultured bacterium. RNAcentral's name for it is "partial 16S ribosomal RNA". It matches the Rfam family "Bacterial small subunit ribosomal RNA", at positions 524 to 776 of the family's 1533-position model. The record is from RNAcentral.
UACAGAGGGGGCAAGCGUUAUUCGGAAUUAUUGGGCGUAAAGGGCGCGUAGGCGGCUUGGCAAGUGGAAGGUGAAAUCCCUCGGCUUAACCAAGGAAGUGCAUCCGAAACUGCAGAGCUUGAGUACUUAAGAGGAUCGCGGAAUUCCCGGUGUAGAGGUGAAAUUCGUAGAUAUCGGGAGGAACACCAGUGGCGAAGGCGGCGAUCUGGGAAGAUACUGACGCUGAGGUGCGAAAGCGUGGGGAGCAAACAGG